RNAcentral lists this small RNA (991 nucleotides) under uncultured Intrasporangiaceae bacterium. RNAcentral's name for it is "bacterial SSU rRNA". The stretch from base 1 to 492 matches the Rfam family "Bacterial small subunit ribosomal RNA", at positions 1045 to 1533 of the family's 1533-position model. The record is from RNAcentral. Lineage: Bacteria; Bacillati; Actinomycetota; Actinomycetes; Micrococcales; Intrasporangiaceae.
AUGGCUGUCGUCAGCUCGUGUCGUGAGAUGUUGGGUUAAGUCCCGCAACGAGCGCAACCCUCGUUCUAUGUUGCCAGCGGGUUAUGCCGGGGACUCAUAGGAGACUGCCGGGGUCAACUCGGAGGAAGGUGGGGAUGACGUCAAAUCAUCAUGCCCCUUAUGUCUUGGGCUUCACGCAUGCUACAAUGGCCAGUACAAAGGGCUGCGAUACCGCAAGGUGGAGCGAAUCCCAAAAAACUGGUCUCAGUUCGGAUUGGGGUCUGCAACUCGACCCCAUGAAGUCGGAGUCGCUAGUAAUCGCAGAUCAGCAACGCUGCGGUGAAUACGUUCCCGGGCCUUGUACACACCGCCCGUCAAGUCACGAAAGUCGGUAACACCCGAAGCCGGUGGCCCAACUCGCAAGAGGGGGAGCCGUCGAAGGUGGGACUGGCGAUUGGGACUAAGUCGUAACAAGGUAGCCGUACCGGAAGGUGCGGCUGGAUCACCUCCUUUCUAAGGAGCACUGGCACCCCUUGGGGUGUCCAGGUAGCCCGCCACGGCCGUUUGUGUUGUGGGGGUUGCUCACGGGUGGAUCAUCGAUUAUUUGGCAUCGCGCACCUGGUGCGCCGGCAAGUACUGGUCUGUUCCACCCCCUUUGGGGGUGGAGGGGCCGUGGAAAGCGGGUGGGCUGUGGUGGGUGGUGUCUGGCACGUUGUUGGGUCCUGAGGGCUCGGGCGCAAGCUCGGCUUUCAAGUGGGCCUCACCGCUUUCCCGUACCGCCUGUCCUCCUUUUUCUUUGUGGGGGUGUGGGCCGGCGGGGGCGUGUGGUGGGGUGCCGCCCGUAUUUUGAGAACUACACAGUGGACGCGAGCAUCUUUGUAGCCAAGUUUUUAAGGGCGCACGGUGGAUGCCUUGGCACCAGGAACCGAAGAAGGACGUAGGAAUCUGCGAUAAGCCACGGGGAGUCGAUAACCAGACUGUGAUCCGUGGAUUUCCGAAUGGGGAAACCCGG